GUUAGUGCCAUUGCUUUAAAUAAUUUUUUUAAUUUUCAAAAUAAUAUACUGCAACCAUUGAAAUACAUCUAAACAGACGCGGCACGGUAUGAUAUGCAGUAAUGUGUCAUAUUGAUUGCACCAAAUAUAGCAGCGGUUUUCCUUAAAAAAAUUGGACAAAGGCAGAGAUAAGCCCCCUAGUCACAAAAGAGUAAAAGUGCGCUAUAGCAUUAACUCAAGAAACCACAACAACAUUUGAAAUGAACUAGUCUAAGCGCCAUAUAAGGAAUCAAUUAAUCGACAUUGCCGAAUCACUGUGAAAAAGCUCUGACCUGUAGUGAGUUGUGAGAUGAUAUGCAAUCGGCGAAGAUGCUGAAAAACAACGUCACAUCAACACAAAAUCAAUGCCACUAAUGUAUGUCAUACAUUGGAGGAACACUGCGAAGGAAGCUUUAGUCCACACCGAGUUGUUAUCCCUGAGAGAGUUGGUGGUAUACGAUUAAUUGAAAAAUAAAUAAAUAAUUAUAAACAAUGCUUGAAGAAAUAACUUGGCUGCUCUGUUUAGGUGACUUACAAGUAAUCUCACUUACCACUGUUACGUGCUAUAAAAAUACAAAAACUUUUUAUAUAGAAAAUGUGCUACAGUUGUCACUUUCGGUACUUCAAAAUUGGUUUAAAGUUUAUCCUUGCAGGAUAAAAUUUAAAUAUAUAUAUAAACACA
Molecule: long non-coding RNA, 700 nt
Organism: Teleopsis dalmanni
Lineage: Eukaryota; Metazoa; Arthropoda; Insecta; Diptera; Diopsidae
Exons: 2
Source: RefSeq, a predicted model, not a curated record